CAGAUGACCCUCUCUUGCUGUUCCCACCGGGUGUCAUAAACUCCAUGACUACUUCCAAGAAACGUUAAGGCACUAGAAGCCAAAAUCCUGAAUCCCGAGUCUGUGACCAGCCACCAAACCGGUAUCCAAAGGACAAGAGUGGUACAAGCAGAAGCAGCAAAUGCCAUCUCCCAACAAAACUGCCCAGAGGAAAAGACAGACACAGUGUUUGCCUGACUCACAGUUCAAGGAGAAGAAACUUGAUUUUCCCACUGGGACCUGAUCCCACGCAUGACUUCUGCAAGACCAAGCAUGGCCACCAACAGAUACGCUGUCAGAGCCAAACACAAGCCUUCAGGGGAACGUGAUCUGACAAGCAGCUGCCACUGCUGAAAACUUUCUUUGUAGACCCUGACAUCUGGCUUCUCUGACUGCCAAGCCUGGCCUCCUCCAAGGUGCCACAGGAGAUGCGUCGGUGUGGCAGAAUUUCUGCGGUAAAAGUCCCCACAGCAUCACAUGGAGCUCCUGAACAUCACUGAACCAUUCCACUUCACUGGCUGCACUUCAGGAGGCAGAGUUGCCCUUGCUGACCUGUGACCAGAAUUAAUUAGAGCUGUUCAGAGUUGCUCUUUGACUUGACUUUCUGUGACUGUGUUGUUGACACUGCACUAGAAGCAGCCUCCUGAAAUUAGGACCAGUGCAAUAGUCCAUGUUUUUGCUGAAAUGUCAUCUAGAAGAUUCACAGUUCCUCUGAAAGACUUAGAAAAAGUGACCUACAAAAACAGAUAAGACUCCAACUCCAUCAGCUGACCAACUCCAGCUGUUUGCAGCCCUUCAUGCAAUGCUGAGCACAG
Anas platyrhynchos (mallard) is the source of this 833-nucleotide non-coding RNA. The record is from RefSeq and is a predicted model, not a curated record. NCBI's taxonomy places the organism in Eukaryota, Metazoa, Chordata, Aves, Anseriformes, Anatidae.